UGGGGAAUAUUGGACAAUGGGCGAAAGCCUGAUCCAGCCAUGCCGCGUGUGUGAAGAAGGCCUUUUGGUUGUAAAGCACUUUAAGUGGGGAGGAAAAGCUUGUGGUUAAUACCCAUAAGCCCUGACGUUACCCACAGAAUAAGCACCGGCUAACUCUGUGCCAGCAGCCGCGGUAAUACAGAGGGUGCAAGCGUUAAUCGGAAUUACUGGGCGUAAAGCGCGCGUAGGUGGUUAUUUAAGUCAGAUGUGAAAGCCCCGGACUUAACCUGGGAACUGCAUCUGAUACUGGAUAACUAGAGUAGGUGAGAGGGGAGUAGAAUUCCAGGUGUAGCGGUGAAAUGCGUAGAGAUCUGGAGGAAUACCGAUGGCGAAGGCAGCUCCCUGGCAUCAUACUGACACUGAGGUGCGAAAGCGUGGGUAGCAAACAGGAUUAGAUACCCUGGUAGUCCACGCCGUAAACGAUGUCUACCAGUCGUUGGGUCUUUUAAAGACUUAGUGACGCAGUUAACGCAAUAAGUAGACCGCCUGGGGAGUACGGCCGCAAGGUUA
This 549-nucleotide ribosomal RNA is filed under the name uncultured bacterium. RNAcentral describes it as "bacterial SSU rRNA". It matches the Rfam family "Bacterial small subunit ribosomal RNA", at positions 355 to 896 of the family's 1533-position model. The record is from RNAcentral.